UACGAAGGGGGCUAGCGUUGUUCGGAAUUACUGGGCGUAAAGCGCGCGCAGGCGGCUCUUCAAGUCAGGGGUGAAAGCCCAGAGCUCAACUCUGGAACUGCCUUUGAGACUGAAGAGCUUGAGUACGGGAGAGGUGAGUGGAAUUCCCAGUGUAGAGGUGAAAUUCGUAGAUAUCGGGAGGAACACCUGUGGCGAAAGCGGCUCACUGGACCACAACUGACGCUGAGGCGCGAAAGCUAGGGGAGCAAACAGG
RNAcentral lists this ribosomal RNA (253 nucleotides) under uncultured bacterium. RNAcentral describes it as "partial 16S ribosomal RNA". It matches the Rfam family "Bacterial small subunit ribosomal RNA", at positions 524 to 776 of the family's 1533-position model. The record is from RNAcentral.